RNAcentral lists this ribosomal RNA (257 nucleotides) under uncultured soil bacterium. Its description in RNAcentral is "partial 16S ribosomal RNA". It matches the Rfam family "Bacterial small subunit ribosomal RNA", at positions 26 to 286 of the family's 1533-position model. The record is from RNAcentral.
AGGACGAACGCUGGCGGCGUGCUUAACACAUGCAAGUCGAGCGGAAAGGCCCUUCGGGGUACUCGAGCGGCGAACGGGUGGGUAACACGUGGGCAACCUGCCCCUAGCUCUGGGAUAACUCCGGGAAACCGGUGCUAAUACCGGAUACGACCUUCUCUGGCAUCUGAGAAGGUGGAAAGUUUUUUCGGGCUAGGGAUGGGCCCGCGGCCUAUCAGCUUGUUGGUGAGGUAACGGCCCACCAAGGCGACGACGGGUAG